This 253-nucleotide ribosomal RNA is filed under the name uncultured bacterium. RNAcentral's name for it is "partial 16S ribosomal RNA". It matches the Rfam family "Archaeal small subunit ribosomal RNA", at positions 474 to 727 of the family's 1478-position model. The record is from RNAcentral.
UACCAGCACCCCGAGUGGUCGGGACGAUUAUUGGGCCUAAAGCAUCCGUAGCCGGUUUUACAAGUCCCCCGUUAAAUCCAGCUGCUCAACAGAUGGGCCGCGGAGGAUACUACAGAGCUAGGAGGCAGGAGAGGCAAGCGGUACUCAGUGGGUAGGGGUAAAAUCCGUUGAUCCAUUGAAGACCACCAGUGGCGAAGGCGGCUUGCCAGAAUGCGCUCGACGGUGAGGGAUGAAAGCUGGGGGAGCAAACCGG